Molecule: long non-coding RNA, 3068 nt
Organism: Mauremys reevesii (Reeves's turtle)
Lineage: Eukaryota; Metazoa; Chordata; Testudines; Geoemydidae
Exons: 3
Source: RefSeq, a predicted model, not a curated record
CGGGGCGCUUUGGAGACCAGGCAGCCGAGGCAAAAAGGCUAGCGGGGUUUUCUUCCUCUCCCUCCGAGGCGGGCUGGGCAGGGACUCUGGCCCGCCCAGGAUGGAAGGGGAGCUGCUGCCUUCUCCCCUCUCACCUCCACCGUUCCCGGGAGCGCUGGGAACUGGCCCGGGCUUUGGAGCUCCGCGCUGGAGCCGCGGCUGCUGCCAGCGGCAGCGGCGCUAAAAGCAGGGAAGCUCCCACCCGAGGCUGCAGCUCAUUAAGGGUCACAGAGAUGGCAGCGAUUAGACCUGCUGCAGCUUAGACAAUGGGAGCCUACAGCAGACGUCUGUGUGUCCAGACAACAGACCCCCCCCCAGCAGCCCAGCGUCACCCCUCUGAGAUGCAGAGCAAGUAGAAGAGGUAGAACUGUGCAAGUCCCUCAGACCUGCUUGUGUGAGAGAGGUACUGCAGUGUACUUUGGCAUUUGAGCUGCUGGAAGAAAUUUCACCUGUGGGCAGGUUAUUCUAUAAAUAUCCUUAGUGGAGUUUCUUGUAUUCCUCUGAAGCAUCUGAUGCUGGCCAGUGUCACAGACAGGACACCAAACUAGACAGGCUACUGUUCUGAUCCAAUGGGACAAUGUAUAUGUUCAUCUUUGUUCUCUGGAAAAAUGUGGAUUACAUCUAUACAGGUCUUCCUCUAUGGCAACCUAAGAUCAAUUCUAUUUUAAUGUAAUAACUUAUCUGAGUACAACUCAAUGCAAAUUAUUGUUUUAGAAAUAGUCUUCAUUUUGUUUAGUUGUUCAGGAGACUACUUGGGGGUGGGGAACAAAACUGUGCUGUGAAAGGGAGGAUGGCUUUUGUGGUUAAGGCACUAUCCUGAGAAUGUGGGGGAGGGGGAAGGCUCUAGCUUCCUUUCCGUCUGUGCUACAGACUCCAUCUGGGGCGAGUCACUUAACUCUUCUGUGUCCCAUGCUCCACAUUUGUAAAAUGGAAAUGAAUUCAUUAAUGUUUACUGUGGCAUGCUACGAUACUACAGCUGUGGGGACCAUAGAAAAGCCAAUAAAUAAAUAAAUAAUGAUUGGAAAUUACUUAUAUCAUUUCUGAGCAUGGACUGCAGCAUUUUGUGAACUCAGGCAUGCCUGUCAGUGAAGUGAAAGCUAGGCCAUGCUGUUUUGUUCAUAGAGCCAGACCACAGCCUGUGUGUGGUAUAUCACAGCCAAAGACCCAGCUUGUGGUGGGUAUUUACUUUUGUCAAGAGGCGUGCUCCAUGCCACAAAGUGCUGUAAGCCUCCUUGCAAGAUGUUGUAAUGCAUGUGACGUGUGUAAGGUUGUGGAGUUGUGAGUGUUUUUGAGAUCCACGUAAUUGUAACAGUCACAAGUAGGAUAGGAGAGACGGUAGCAGAUAGAUGUACUUUGUUCCCUAUUUUAUGUUAGCUGAGCUGUCUGGACCCUGCUGUUUCAGAGACACAUUUUGUAUUUGCCACAUCACGCUAGUAUCCGUCAUUAGGCAAGACUAUGUGCGAUUGAUGCUCUAUAAAUACCUACUGGAUAUAGCUAUGUAAUGGACGAUAAAUAAAUGGACCAGGUUGUAAGUCCUGUGGAAAAAACCCUGGAAAGAGGCAGUGGGAGAGGAAUAUUGUAUGAGAUUCCUUUGCAGAAUUUUCUCCCGAUCAUUCUGCCAGGGGCUUUUGGGUUUGCACGUACAAGGGGCUCAGACUCCAGAACUUGUGAAUCAUGGAGAUGCACUGAGUCCCUGUUCCUCCACAGUAGCUCCAAAGCCUCCUGCCACUUCCUCAGGAUCCUUGGUGGAGCAUCAAUGGAAUUGCACUGUCUAGUUUUCCCCAUUGGCUGCUGCCCCCUAAAACUCUCUCAAAGGGGGUUUCCACAGCACAAAAGGGCUCUGCAGAAAAGUUAAAUGAUUGCAUUAACUACCUAGCCUGUGGAUUCCCCAGAGGGUAAUUGAUGAAGUGCACACUCUACUCAUCCCUAACCUCUCCUACUCUGUCUUGUCUCUCCCUCUACCUUGUGCUCUUUGGGCAAUGGGGCUGUGAAGAACCGUGCCUGAAGCUGUUUCUGGAUUCACUGUUGGGGCCACGGCUAUGAAACCUGUCUCAGGCUUAGAUGUCUAGUAUAAGCUAGUCAUAAACAAGGUGGCAGUAAUUGGCAGAGUAAUGUAACUUGCACUGGUUUUUCACUGAGUAGAUGUGAAAAACCAGAGUAUCUUACACUCUAAAAGGGGCAAAGGGGACAGGAUGUUGCACUGGAAGCAAGUGACAGGAUAAUCUAAAGUAGGGGGUUUCAAACUUCACAACCCUAGGACCAAAACCUGAGCCCAUCCAAGCCCCACUGCCCUGGGUGUGUGGGAGGCAAAGCCUGAGCCCCACCGCUCUGGGCAGGGGGGCCAAAGCUGAAGCUCAAUGCUUCAGCCCCAGGCAGGGGGCCUGCAACCUGAGUCCUGCAGCCCAAUGCUGAAGCCCUCAGGCGUUGGCUUCAGCCCUGGGCAGCGGGGCUUGGGCUUCCAUCCCAGGCCACAGCAAGUCUAAGCCAGCCCUGGCACUUUGGAGUCCCAACUCUCAGUUUGGGAACCACUGAUAUAAAGUAAAACAGACCUCCCCUAGUUGGCCUUCUGCUGGUACUUUCCACAACUUUCUCCAUUGAUGAAUUUGACCUUCUCACUUCCACUGGAAUUGUACCCACUCAUGUCAGGGCUGAAUUUGAUUUUUGCCCAAAAGUAAAUUGGUGUAAGUUGUACUCAUUUUGCAUCUCCACUGAAUUCGAAAUUGAUAAAAAUUACAUGACUUUGCCAUUGACAGCCAUUUUCUUCCUAAUUACAUCCAACCAUGAUAUUACACAAAUCUUUACACCCCUGCUGAAUUUGGAUCUGCAUAUUUAUGGGGCUAUAGUAAUCUUAUUCAUGUAAUCUUAUUCAUUUCUGUGUGCUAAGAUAGAGAUGAAAAUGUACUUUUUAGAAUUAAGAGCAAUUUAUGGUAUGUUGCACUUUCAAUAUUCAAUUAAAUUAUAAAGAUAUGAGAAUAAAAUCCUUUUCCAGCCCUGGGGAACCACUGAUGAAAUAAUCUGCAAAUAAGAUU